RNAcentral lists this transfer RNA (72 nucleotides) under Streptomyces griseoaurantiacus. RNAcentral's name for it is "tRNA-Phe". Lineage: Bacteria; Bacillati; Actinomycetota; Actinomycetes; Kitasatosporales; Streptomycetaceae. The record is from RNAcentral.
GCCGAGCCUGGCCCGGGCGACGGCGGGGGCGCUGAAGGCGCUCUGAGUCCCCGGCCACGCGGGGGCGCGGCU